AUUGAACGCUGGCGGCAGGCCUAACACAUGCAAGUCGAGCGGAUGAAGGGAGCUUGCUCCUGGAUUCAGCGGCGGACGGGCGAGUAAUGCCUAGGAAUCUGCCUGGUAGUGGGGGAUAACGUCCGGAAACGGGCGCUAAUACCGCAUACGUCCUGAGGGAGAAAGUGGGGGAUCUUCGGACCUCACGCUAUCAGAUGAGCCUAGGUCGGAUUAGCUAGUUGGUGGGGUAAAGGCCUACCAAGGCGACGAUCCGUAACUGGUCUGAGAGGAUGAUCAGUCACACUGGAACUGAGACACGGUCCAGACUCCUACGGGAGGCAGCAGUGGGGAAUAUUGGACAAUGGGCGAAAGCCUGAUCCAGCCAUGCCGCGUGUGUGAAGAAGGUCUUCGGAUUGUAAAGCACUUUAGGUUGGAAGGAAGGGCAGUAAGUUAAUACCUUGCUGUUUUGACGUUACCAACAGAAUAAGCACCGGCUAACUUCGUG
RNAcentral lists this ribosomal RNA (484 nucleotides) under uncultured bacterium. Its description in RNAcentral is "partial 16S ribosomal RNA". It matches the Rfam family "Bacterial small subunit ribosomal RNA", at positions 30 to 507 of the family's 1533-position model. The record is from RNAcentral.